UACGUAGGGGGCAAGCGUUGUCCGGAAUCAUUGGGCGUAAAGCGCGCGUAGGCGGCCCGGUAAGUCCGCUGUAAAAGUCCAGGGCUCAACCCUGGAAAGCCGGUGGAUACUGUCGGGCUAGAGUCCGGAAGAGGCGAGUGGAAUUCCUGGUGUAGCAGUGAAAUGCGCAGAUAUCAGGAGGAACACCGAUGGCGAAGGCAGGUCUCUGGGCAUUAACUGACGCUGAGGAGCGAAAGCAUGGGGAGCGAACAGG
Molecule: ribosomal RNA, 253 nt
Filed under: uncultured bacterium
Lineage: Bacteria
Description: partial 16S ribosomal RNA
Rfam family: Bacterial small subunit ribosomal RNA
Source: RNAcentral